RNAcentral lists this unclassified non-coding RNA (321 nucleotides) under uncultured fungus. RNAcentral's name for it is "partial contains 5.8S ribosomal RNA, internal transcribed spacer 2, and large subunit ribosomal RNA". Lineage: Eukaryota; Fungi. The record is from RNAcentral.
AACGCACCUUGCGCUCCUUGGCAUUCCUUGGAGCAUGCCUGUUUGAGUAUCAUGAAAUUCUCAAAGUCAAUCUUUUGUUAAUUCAAUUGGUUGUACUUUGGACUUGGAGGUCUUUGCAGAUUAAUAAUCUGCUCCUCUUAAAUUUAUUAGCUGGAUCUCAGUAUAUGCUUGGUUCCACUCGGCGUGAUAAGUUAUCACUCGCUGAGGACACUGUAAAAAGUGGCCAGGAAAUACAGAUGAACUGCUUCUAAUAGUCUAUUAAAUUAGACAAUUAAUUUAAGAUCUGAUCUCAAAUCAGGUAGGACUACCCGCUGAACUUAA